RNAcentral lists this ribosomal RNA (165 nucleotides) under uncultured bacterium. Its description in RNAcentral is "partial 16S rRNA". It matches the Rfam family "Bacterial small subunit ribosomal RNA", at positions 355 to 511 of the family's 1533-position model. The record is from RNAcentral.
UAGGGAAUCUUCCACAAUGGACGCAAGUCUGAUGGAGCAACGCCGCGUGAGUGAAGAAGGGUUUCGGCUCGUAAAGCUCUGUUGUUAAAGAAGAACGUGGGUAAGAGUAACUGUUUACCCAGUGACGGUUAUUUAACCAGAAAGCCACGGCUAACUACGUGCUAG